Long non-coding RNA from Xenopus laevis (African clawed frog), 100 nucleotides. RefSeq lists it as uncharacterized. Lineage: Eukaryota; Metazoa; Chordata; Amphibia; Anura; Pipidae. The record is from RefSeq and is a predicted model, not a curated record. The transcript has 3 exons.
UACCCAGUUACAGAGCCCUGAUUCUCUGUACCUCCUGCUCCUGGGCUGUUCUCUUUCCCAUGGUCAGACAGGAACCUCCCCCUGGGUAAGUGAAUCCAAU